Papaver somniferum (opium poppy) is the source of this 802-nucleotide long non-coding RNA. RefSeq lists it as uncharacterized. Lineage: Eukaryota; Viridiplantae; Streptophyta; Magnoliopsida; Ranunculales; Papaveraceae. The transcript has 2 exons. The record is from RefSeq and is a predicted model, not a curated record.
AGUUGCACAAACCAGAGACGGCGGUCGAUCCAGAGAUUAAAACUUGGUUGCAGUGAGAGGUUUUUAUAGAGAGUAAUUAGUUAAAGGUUUGUGUUUAUUUCUUGAAGACAAAGCCAUGAGAAACCAGAGAAGGUGGUCGAAGAAAUCAGAGAUAACGGAAGAUCUAAAAAGAGAAGAAGGAGAUCGAUAUAAAACGAAAUGUAUUUAUGAAUGUAAUUACCCUGAUGCACAUCAAUUUAAGGGUAAUGAAUGGUGUGCAUGAGGGAAAGAAACUGUAUUGUGAAUAGGAAGAGGUCUUGGACAGAGACGAACUCACAGAAAAAGCCUAGAUGUUGUACUAAAUGUGGUGGACCUAAUCAAAACAGAUCUACUUGUAAAGGUGGAUAAUUUGGGUCUAAUCCUAAGAAGAAAGGAGCAAGAACUAAGUGUCAGGUUGAUGGUGAGUCAUUUUUUGAGAAAGCUGAAGUUCCAAAGAGGAUUAGGAAGAAACAUGCAACAUCUACUUCAACUGUGGCUACGAAGAAAACCGCAACAUCUACUUCAACUGCUGCUGGAACAAAGAAGAAGAAGGCAACCAAGAUUUCCAUUGGCAAUAUAAAGGUGAAGCAGAAUUUUACUGCAGGUUCAGGUAGUGGUGUUUGUGGAUUAUGGUGUUUGUUAGGCCUGCACAUUUGACAAUGUUUUGGGUGUUUCACCUGUGGUGGUUUUUUGACGUUGGUAGUGAUGUUAAUUUGUCUCUUUUUAGAGACAGCUUUUAGUGGGUAUGUUGUUAUUUUGAGAAGUGAAAGUGCUUUUACUGAUA